Molecule: ribosomal RNA, 406 nt
Filed under: uncultured bacterium
Lineage: Bacteria
Description: partial 16S ribosomal RNA
Rfam family: Bacterial small subunit ribosomal RNA
Source: RNAcentral
AUUGAACGCUGGCGGCAGGCCUAACACAUGCAAGUCGAACGAGUGGCGGACGGGUGAGUAAUGUCUGGGAAACUGCCCGACGGAGGGGGAUAACUACUGGAAACGGUAGCUAAUACCGCAUACCAUCGGAUGUGCCCAGAUGGGAUUAGCUAGUAGGUGGGGUAACGGCUCACCACGGCGACGAUCCCUAGCUGGUCUGAGGGGAUGACCAGCCACCCUGGAAGUGAGGCACGGUACAGACUCCAACGGGAGGCGGCAGUGGGGGAUAUUGGACAAUGGACGCAAGCCGGAUGCAGCCGUGCCGCGUGUAGGAAGAGGGCCUUCGGGUUGUAAGUUACUUUCAGCGAGGAGGCGUUACUCGCAGAAGAAGCACCGGCUAACUCCGUGCCAGCAGCCGCGGUAAUUC